RNAcentral lists this ribosomal RNA (468 nucleotides) under uncultured bacterium. Its description in RNAcentral is "partial 16S ribosomal RNA". It matches the Rfam family "Bacterial small subunit ribosomal RNA", at positions 28 to 507 of the family's 1533-position model. The record is from RNAcentral.
GACGAACGCUGGCGGCGUGCUUAACACAUGCAAGUCGAACGGAAAGGCCUUGCUUCUGUGGGGAGCUAGAGUGGCGAACGGGCGAGUAAUACGUGAGUAACCUGACCUUGACUUUGGGAUAAUUUCCGGAAACUGGGGCUAAUACCGGAUAGGAGCUCCUGUUGCGUGGUGGGGGUUGGAAAGUUUGGGCGGAUGGGGAAGGACUCGGGGCAUGUCAGCUUGUUGGUGGGGUAGUGGCUUUACAAGGCUUCGACGGGUAGCCUGCCUGAGUGGGUGACCGACCAAAUUGGGACUGGAGACAGGCCCCGACUCCUAAGGGGGGCAGCAAGGGGGAAUAUUGCACAAUGGACGGAAGCCUUAUGCAACAACGCCGCGUGCGGUAUAGCGGCCUUCGUCUUGUAGUCCGCUUUCGCCGGUGACGGAGCGUUAAUGACAUUAAUGGGUAAAGAAGCACCGGCUAACUACGUG